UACGUAGGGUCCAAGCGUUAUCCGGAUUUACUGGGUGUAAAGGGCGAGUAGACGGCAUAGCAAGUCAGAUGUGAAAACUUAGGGCUCAACCUUAAGCGUGCAUCUGAAACUGUUAAGCUAGAGUGCAGAAGAGGUAAGCGGAAUUCCUAGUGUAGCGGUGGAAUGCGUAGAUAUUAGGAAGAACACCAGUGGCGAAGGCGGCUUACUGGGCUGUAACUGACGUUGAGGAGCGAAAGUGUGGGGAG
RNAcentral lists this ribosomal RNA (245 nucleotides) under uncultured Lachnospiraceae bacterium. Its description in RNAcentral is "partial 16S ribosomal RNA". It matches the Rfam family "Bacterial small subunit ribosomal RNA", at positions 524 to 768 of the family's 1533-position model. The record is from RNAcentral. Lineage: Bacteria; Bacillati; Bacillota; Clostridia; Lachnospirales; Lachnospiraceae.